UGCCCGGGCUCACCUCCGCGGGGCAUGUCCGCGCUGCUCUCGCCGCGCGCCUGGGACUGCUAGCUUCUCGGGCGCUUCCUGCGCGCGGGGCCCCGCAACUGGCCCCGAAGCCCGGCUCGCGCUUUGCUCGCGGACCGCCGCCGUCAUGGGGCUGCAGCCCCUGGAGUUCAGCGACUGCUACCUCGAUAGCCCGUGGUUCCGGGAGAGGAUCCGCGCCCACGAAGCGGAGCUGGAGAGGACCAACAAGUUCAUCAAAGAGCUCAUCAAGGACGGCAAGAACCUCAUCGCCGCGACCAAAAGUCUUUCGGCAGCCCAGCGGAAGUUUGCUCAUUCACUGAGAGACUUCAAGUUUGAGUUUAUCGGCGAUGCAGAGACUGAUGAUGAACGCUGCAUAGACGCUUCGUUACGUGAAUUUUCUAACUUUUUGAAGAACCUGGAAGAACAGAGAGAAAUUAUGGCAUUAAGUGUCACCGAAACCCUGAUUAAACCCUUGGAAAAAUUCAGAAAAGAGCAACUUGGAGCCGUCAAGGAAGAAAAAAAGAAGUUUGACAAAGAGACAGAAAAGAACUAUAGCCUAAUAGAUAAACAUUUGAAUUUAUCAGCAAAAAAGAAAGACUCACAUUUACAAGAGGCAGAUAUCCAAGUGGAACAGAACCGGCAACACUUUUACGAACUGUCUCUUGAAUAUGUGUGUAAGCUUCAGGAAAUCCAAGAAAGGAAGAAGUUUGAGUUUGUGGAACCUAUGCUGUCCUUUUUUCAGGGAAUGUUUACUUUCUAUCAUCAAGGCCAUGAACUUGCCAAAGACUUCAAUCACUACAAAAUGGAACUACAGAUCAACAUUCAGAAUACACGGAAUCGUUUUGAAGGAACAAGGUCAGAAGUGGAAGAGCUUAUGAACAAGAUUAGACAGAAUCCCAAGGACCACAAACGAGCAAGUCAGUUCACAGCGGAAGGCUACCUGUAUGUACAGGAAAAAAGGCCUCCUCCGUUUGGUUCCAGCUGGGUCAAACACUACUGCAUGUAUCGGAAAGCGGCCAAGAAGUUCAACAUCAUUCCGUUCGAGCACAGAUCUGGGGGGAAACUAGGGGAUGGAGAGGUGUUCUUUUUGAAAGAAUGUACCAGAAGACAUACUGACUCCAUCGACAGAAGGUUUUGUUUUGAUGUAGAAGCUGCUGACCGGCCUGGAGUUUCUUUGACCAUGCAGGCGUUUUCAGAAGAAGAGAGGAAGCAGUGGUUGGAAGCUCUGGGUGGAAAAGAAGCUCUGUUCCCUAGUUUUAAUAGAGCCAUCAUCCCAAGACCAGAAGGAGGUGCACAGUUGGAUAAGAUGGGAUUCACAAUUCUUAGAAAAUGCAUCAGUGCAGUUGAAACACGAGGUAUAAACGACCAAGGAUUGUACAGAGUUGUGGGGGUGAGUUCAAAGGUCCAGAGACUUCUGAGUAUGUUGAUGGAUGUGAAAACCUGCAAUGAGGUGGACCUGGAGAAUUCUAUAGAUUGGGAAGUGAAGACAAUAACGAGCGCCCUGAAACAGUAUUUGAGGAGUCUUCCAGAGCCGCUGAUGACCUAUGAAUUACACGGAGACUUCAUUGUUCCAGCCAAAAGCGGCAGCCCAGAAUCUCGUGUUAACGCUGUCCAUUUCUUGGUACACAAACUGCCGGAGAAAAAUAAAGAAAUGUUGGACAUUUUGGUGAAACACUUAACUAAUGUUUCAAAUCACUCCAAGCAGAACCUCAUGACCGUGGCAAAUUUAGGAGUGGUGUUUGGACCAACUCUGAUGAGGCCACAGGAAGAAACUGUUGCUGCCAUCAUGGAUUUGAAGUUUCAGAAUAUUGUCGUGGAAAUUUUAAUUGAAAACCAUGAAAAGAUGGAGGGAGGAUAAAGUCCUGCUGUAAUGAAGUGUGGGAAGAAUAUAGUGAUUGAAAGGGGGUGGCGCGGAGUGGAUCCCUGGUCCGGGAACUAAGAUCCCGCAGCGUGGCCAAAAAGAAAGAAAAAAAAAAGCGGAAUCUGCGCUUUCACAAGACCUCCAAGUGACUUGUGCAUGCAUGCGUCAGUGUUUGAGAAACAGUAGUGUAACAGUUGUUCUUCAAAAAGCUCAUGGCGGGCUUCCCUGAUGGUGCAGUGCUUAAGAAUCCACCUGCCAAUGCAGGGGACCCAGGUCCGAUCCCUGGUCCGGGAAGAUCCCACAUGCCACGGAGCAACUAAG
This is an RNA transcript of Physeter macrocephalus (sperm whale), 2200 nucleotides long. It is a transcript of the gene named Rho GTPase activating protein 10, with no coding region annotated. The record is from RefSeq and is a predicted model, not a curated record. NCBI's taxonomy places the organism in Eukaryota, Metazoa, Chordata, Mammalia, Artiodactyla, Physeteridae. The transcript has 21 exons.